GAUGAACGCUGGCGGCGUGCCUAAUACAUGCAAGUCGAGCGAACAGAUAAGGAGCUUGCUCCUUUGACGUUAGCGGCGGACGGGUGAGUUACACGUGGAUAACCUACCUAUAAGACUGGGAUAACUUCGGGAAACCGGAGCUAAUACCGGAUAACAUAUUGAACCGCAUGUUUCAAUAGUGAAAGGCGGCUUUGCUGUCACUUAUAGAUGGAUCCGCGCCGUAUUAGCUAGUUGGUAAGGUAACGGCUUACCAAGGCAACGAUACGUAGCCGACCUGAGAGGGUGAUCGGCCACACUGGAACUGAGACACGGUCCAGACUCCUACGGGAGGCAGCAGUAGGGAAUCUUCCGCAAUGGGCGAAAGCCUGACGGAGCAACGCCGCGUGAGUGAUGAAGGUCUUCGGAUCGUAAAACUCUGUUAUCAGGGAAGAACAAAUGUGUAAGUAACUGUGCACAUCUUGACGGUACCUGAUCAGAAAGCCACGGCUAACUACGUG
Molecule: ribosomal RNA, 497 nt
Filed under: uncultured bacterium
Lineage: Bacteria
Description: partial 16S ribosomal RNA
Rfam family: Bacterial small subunit ribosomal RNA
Source: RNAcentral